GCCGACGUAGCUCAGUUGGAUAGAGCGUCUGACUGUGGAUCAGAAGGUCCCCGGUUCGAGCCCGGGCGUCGGUA
Molecule: transfer RNA, 74 nt
Filed under: Phycisphaerales bacterium
Lineage: Bacteria; Pseudomonadati; Planctomycetota; Phycisphaerae; Phycisphaerales
Description: tRNA-His
Rfam family: tRNA
About the family: Transfer RNA (tRNA) molecules are approximately 80 nucleotides in length. Their secondary structure includes four short double-helical elements and three loops (D, anti-codon, and T loops).
Source: RNAcentral